RNAcentral lists this ribosomal RNA (293 nucleotides) under uncultured bacterium. RNAcentral's name for it is "partial 16S ribosomal RNA". It matches the Rfam family "Bacterial small subunit ribosomal RNA", at positions 791 to 1084 of the family's 1533-position model. The record is from RNAcentral.
UAGUCCACGCCGUAAACGUUGGGCACUAGGUGUGGGGAGGCGUCAACCCUUUCCGUGCCGUAGCUAACGCAUUAAGUGCCCCGCCUGGGGAGUACGGCCGCAAGGCUAAAACUCAAAGGAAUUGACGGGGCCCGCACAAGCGGCGGAGCAUGUUGCUUAAUUCGAUGCAACGCGAAGAACCUUACCUGGGCUUGACAUGCAGGGAAAAGCCGCAGAGAUGCGGUGUCCUACGGGGGCCCUGCGCAGGUGGUGCAUGGCUGUCGUCAGCUCGUGUCGUGAGAUGUUGGGUUAAG